RNAcentral lists this long non-coding RNA (2203 nucleotides) under Homo sapiens (human). Its description in RNAcentral is "HSALNT0298993". Lineage: Eukaryota; Metazoa; Chordata; Mammalia; Primates; Hominidae. The record is from RNAcentral.
GCCGCUGGCUCCGCCCACCGCGUGGUCCAAGGACCACCACCCGCCACCGCCGCGCGAGCGUACUAUUGCGGCCGCCCUCUGCUGCGCCUGAAGAGAGAGGCGACUCUACAAGCCUCACAGCAUGCACUGUUACUAAAAAGACGAUGCGUCCUCCUGGACCUGAGAUCUGUGUGAUCGUGGGAAAGCGACGAAAAACAAUUUGAAGAAAUGAUGCUGAGCCAGUUCCAGGCCUACCCCUUAAGGAGACUUGACACUUUCUACUUUAGCUCUCUUGGAACUUUGAGCCACCACGUGAGGAGUCUGAUUACCCAUUCGCAAGUGAUGCCUAAACAGCCCCUGUUCCUUCCAGACAACCCACCUGAGGCACCAGACACAUGAGUGAAGCCAUCUUGGACAUCCCAGUCACAGCCAAACUCACUCCUGAGUGCAUCUGCAUGAUGAACCCAGCAAUCCCCACCAUGGAGCAAAGGAUCCAUCCAGUCAACCCAAAGAAUCGUGAAAAAUAAUAAAUUGUUGUUUUAAAGUUCUUCAGUUUGGGAAUAGCUUGUUAUGCAACAAUACAUAAUUAAUACACUGGUCUCCCACUUUCAAGUUUGAUUAACUUUCAGCUAUUUUUCACAUAGCAGGCAGAGUGAUUCCAUUAAAACAUAUAUCAGAUAAUGUCACUGCACUAAGUAAACUCUACAAGGACUCUCAUCUCCCUCAGAGUAAAGGUCACAGUUGUUACAAGGCCCUACGUAAUGUGGCCCUCACCACCACUCCAUUACCUUUUUCUUAUCUACUAUUUGCUAACUUUGCUUUGUCCUCUUUUCUGUUCUGAAACAGGCUAGGCAUGGUCCUGCCUCAAGGCCUUUGCACCACCUACUCUGUCUGCUUGGAUUGUUCUUCCCACAGAUUUCUUGCUCCCUUCUUCCUUCAUGAAGAAAUGUCAUGAAAUGUCCUUCCUUCAUGAAAUGUCACCUUCUCAUUUGAGGCCUUCUGUAGUACCCCAAAGAAUGGUCCCCAAAGAUGUCCACAUCCUUAUGCCCAGAACCUGUGAAUGUGUUAUCUUAAUGGCAAAAGUGACUUUGCAAAUGUGAUUAUAUUUAAGGAUCUUAAGGAGGAGAUUAUCCUGGAUUAUCCAGGAGGGCCCAAUGUAAUCACAAGGGCCCUUAUAAGUGAAAGGGGGAGGCAACAGAGAGAAGGAGAUGUCAUAAUGAAAACAGAUCCAAGUGAUGAGAUUGCUGGCUGGGGUGGAGGUGGAGGGGGGUACAAUCCAAGGAAUGCAAGAAGCCUCUAAAAGCUAGGAAAUGUCAGGACACAAAUUCUCCCCUAGAACCUGAGGAAGAAACCCAGGUUUAUGGACACUGAUUUUAACCCAAUAAGUCCCUUUUCUGACUGCUGACCUCCAAAACUGUAAGAUAAUAAAUUUGUGUUAUUUUAAGCCAACUGAGUUUGAGAUAAUUUAGUUAUGGCAGCAAUAGGAAACUAGCACACCUUCCUAGCCAUCCUAUCUAAAAUGGCAACCCAUGUCCUUCCUGGCACUUCCUAUCUCCCUUCCAUGUUUUUUUUAAAUCAUAUAUACAAUAUAUUUUACUGUUUUACCUAUUGUCUUUUCCACCAGAAAGUAAACUCCACGUAAAUAAGGAUUGUCUGUUUUAUUCUUUGCAGUAUCUCCACUGCCUAGGAUAGCAUCUGCACAUACUGCACACUCAGUACACAUUUGUCGAAUGAGGUCAGGCGCGGUGGUUCACACCUGUAAUCCCAGCACUUUGGGAGGCCAAGGCGGGUGGAUCACCUUAGGUUAGGAGUUCGAGACCAGCCUGGCCAACAUGGUGAAACCAUGUCUCUACUAAAAAUACAAAAAGUAGUUGGGCAUGGUGGCAUGUGCCUGUAAUCCCAGCUACUUGGGAGGCUGUGGCAGGAGAGUCACUUGAAUCUGGGAGGUGGAGGUUGCAGUGAGCCAAGAUUGUGCCACUCCACUCCAGCCUGGGCAACAGAGUAAGACUCUGGCUCAAAAAAAAAAAAAAAGAAAGAAAGAAAAAAAUACAUAUUUGUUGAAUGAACAAGUGAAUGAACAAAUGUUAUGCAAAUAUAUUAUCCCUAUCUGUAGCUUGCCUUUUAAUUUUGUUAUAGUAACUUUGGUUGAAAGGAAGUUCUAAAAUCUUUAAUAUAAUCAAAUGUAUCAAUCUUUUCAACUUGUAUAUUUUAUGCCUUGUUUAAU